UGGGGUUUAGCUCAGCGGCAUAAGCACCUGCCUUGCAAGCAGGUAGUUGUGAGUUCAAUUCCCAGUACCAA
This is a transfer RNA of Cavia porcellus (domestic guinea pig), 71 nucleotides long. It matches the Rfam family "tRNA". Rfam says of the family: Transfer RNA (tRNA) molecules are approximately 80 nucleotides in length. Their secondary structure includes four short double-helical elements and three loops (D, anti-codon, and T loops). The record is from Rfam. Lineage: Eukaryota; Metazoa; Chordata; Mammalia; Rodentia; Caviidae.